CAAUCUUAACGAUGGAUGUCUUGGUUCCUACAGCGAUGAAGGCCGCAGCAACAUGCGAUAAGCAAUGAAAAAUGCAAUGAAUGUGAAUCAUCAGAACGCUGAAUAUAAACGAUACCAUUUACAUUAUAAGGUAAAUAACUAAUUGGUACCCCUAUAUUCUUAUAU
Molecule: non-coding RNA, 165 nt
Organism: Plasmodium ovale curtisi
Lineage: Eukaryota; Apicomplexa; Aconoidasida; Haemosporida; Plasmodiidae
Source: Rfam